This 485-nucleotide ribosomal RNA is filed under the name uncultured bacterium. RNAcentral's name for it is "bacterial SSU rRNA". It matches the Rfam family "Bacterial small subunit ribosomal RNA", at positions 26 to 518 of the family's 1533-position model. The record is from RNAcentral.
UAGGACGAACGCUGGCGGCAUGCUUAAUACAUGCAAGUCGAACGGGAUAUUGAGGGCUUGCCUUUGAUAUCUAGUGGCGAACGGGUGAGUAACACGUGAGCAACCUGCCUACCACACAGGGAUACCAGUCCGAAAGGAUUGCUAAUACCGGAUGAGAUCACGGGACCGCAUGGUCCUGUAGGUAAAAAGCUCAGGCGGGUGGUAGAGUGGGCUCGGCGGUACAUUAGCUAGUUGGUGAGGUAACGGCCCACCAAGGCGAUGAUGUAUAGCCGACCUGAGAGGGUGAUCGGCCACAUUGGGACUGAGAUACGGCCCAGACUCCUACGGGAGGCAGCAGUAAGGAAUAUUGGGCAAUGGGGGCAACCCUGACCCAGCAAUGCCGCGUGAAGGAAGAAGGUUUUCGGAUUGUAAACUUCUUUUAUAUAGGACGAAUGGAUGACGGUACUAUAUGAAUAAGCCCCGGCUAACUACGUGCCAGCCGCGGC